CACAUAUUUUGAAUAAGAAUUUUUUAUGUCAGUCAUUCAAUUGGAAAAUUUCUCCUCAUCAUUAAUGACUUUAUUAGACUAUAAAAUAACUAUAAUCGUCAUAAAAAUAAAGUGCAUAAAAGUCCUUCAGGUAAAAGGAUAACUUUUACGAUUAUGAAUGAAUCGUACAAUGACCUAUAAUUGCUUAUAUGCACAUGCUUUCAAAUCUGAUGAAUAUUGUAACAAGUUGUCUCAUUGGCAAUCCUACUAGUAUCUCUUAAUUUUAUAUAAAUUCUUCUCCACUAA
RNAcentral lists this long non-coding RNA (285 nucleotides) under Mytilus galloprovincialis (Mediterranean mussel). The record is from RNAcentral. Lineage: Eukaryota; Metazoa; Mollusca; Bivalvia; Mytilida; Mytilidae.